RNAcentral lists this unclassified non-coding RNA (522 nucleotides) under Carex retroflexa. RNAcentral describes it as "partial external transcribed spacer". Lineage: Eukaryota; Viridiplantae; Streptophyta; Magnoliopsida; Poales; Cyperaceae. The record is from RNAcentral.
GGCCAACCGACAUGGGGCUGUCUCUUCACUCUCCCUCCCGUCAUUUGAUUUGUCAGGGCUGGGAUGCUCGUGAUCGGUUGCCUGUGCGGCUCUACCCUGUUGCGGGUAGCGAAGUUGUCCCUCGAUUGAUAUUUGCUUGCCUCUCUGACAUUUUUUUGUCGUUUGGGCAGCCGAAAUGAUGGCGAAAUCCCUGUGUAGGUGCGUGGUCGAAUGGCCCCGUUGCUCUAACUUGGAAUUUUGCUGGCUCUCACGGAUGCAGUGCCCAGUGCCGGCUCUGCGUGGCUUUGCCCCGCAGACUUCGGGAGGUCCCUUGUACGAAUCACUGUGAUCAGAUGCCGUUUGUCGUGUUGCUUGUUUGGCACGCAAAUCGUAUUGUUCUGUCUGGAGUCGGGAUGAUGAAAGUCAGAAUGAAGUGUCUGGGGCGUGCUCGCGUACUCGGGGAAUGCCUCUCCGAUUGUAUGAGCAGCGAUUUUCGGCUUGCGUCCUGCGAAGGCCUGCCCGUUCGGGUUGGUGCUGGAGCUG